This 1032-nucleotide long non-coding RNA is filed under the name Marmota marmota marmota (Alpine marmot). Its description in RNAcentral is "lncRNA (ENSMMMG00000023169.1)". The record is from RNAcentral. Lineage: Eukaryota; Metazoa; Chordata; Mammalia; Rodentia; Sciuridae.
AGGGUCAUUUGCAAAAACGUGUCAUUUUCAUACUUGUACAUAUAGCCCCUUUUGGCUUACUCCUCAUAGCCUGCCUUAGAUGAGGGAGAGUUGGACACCUAGCCCAAAAAAGCCAAAAGCAGGGAGGCCAGAGACAGGACUAGUUGCUAUUAACCCUGCCUGCUCCUUUCAGGUCUUGAUUCCCAUCUCUGGGUGGAUGCUGAAAGGAAGAUGUUAGCUUUAUCUGAAGCAAACUACUUAAAAUCUUGUAUGUGGGGCAAGUACAGCCCCUCCCGCCUCCAGUCUUGGGCUACUCUAGGAGAGUGCACUCUCCUGGAACCUCAACAUCUAGGUGUGAGCAACCUAGGAAGGAAAAUGCAAGAAGGCUUGGAAACCCAUGGGGAGGCGAAGCCGGGAGUUCCCGCAGUCGCUCAGCUUCCCCCGUCCUCCUCCCCUCUCCUCCCCUGGGAGCCCCGGGAAAUUAUUUAUUAAAACACCACCCGCUCUCUCAUUUAUUUGCGGUGAAUAAUCCUCGGCAUCUCAGCGCGUUUAUUAAACCUUUACCGUCCCUGCGCCCGCAUUACUUUAAUAAUAAAUCGCGUGUCACUUUCCAGACGUUAUUAAAGGCCAUCCGCUGCAGCAGAGGCGGGGUGCGGGGAAGAUGGAGGCGGUGCACACCAGGGGUUCCUCCCAUUCAAGGCUGCGGGGCACCAGCCAGCAGGGUGGCAGAGGGGGAAACCGAGGCUACAAGGAGGCUACUCCUGAAACCUACAAACUCUGCAAACGCUAUUGAGGAAUACAGAAUCCCCAGGUCCCGCGUGACCAUCUUGGGUCAGGUGGGGCUCUCGGCUAGGAGUCUCAGCUCUGCAGGUGGACGCUGUCCGACCCCUGGGCCUUCAGGGGGCGCCUUGAGUCCAGCUGGACGAAGAACAGCCUAGAAGGGGAUUCCCUGGCUGGCUCAGGGACCCAGACACAUGUCCCCUCUUACAGUGAGGAGCCGACCUUCCUCUGGUCCCCACAUAGAAUGAGCGCUUUCCCCCCACCCCUCACAAC